GCGAGGAGAAGAGCCAGCUGCCGCUGCUGGGGAAGAGCGGGCGCCCAGGCAGCCCGGACCCCGGCCCCGGCCCGGCCCCGGCCAGACAGCAGGGCGGCCAGCGCCCGCGGGGAAGGGGUACCAUGGGGGAGCCGGCGGCAGGCGCCCCCAGCCCGCCGCGCGCCUCCGCCUGAGGGAGGCUGGGCGUCCUCUGCCCCAGCCCCUCCGUCCCAGCCGCCCGAGCCGCCCGCCCUCGAAGCCGCGACUCCUGGUCUGCGGCCGCGGCCGCUGCGCCCCGCGCCCUCCGCCCAGCGGGCGCCCCGCAGCCCUCGGCCCCGGGCUCGGCCGACCCCGGCUGCCCACGGACGCCUCCCCCAGUCAUGAACCCCCCGGAGGGGGCAGCGGAGGAAGGAGGAGCAGCCGACUCGGACGUAGACGCCUUUUUCCGGACAGGUUGGAGGACAAGUUCCCGUCCUCCUAACUAGGCCUUAAAAGUCUGGGUGGAGUGGACUCUCGCUGGAACCUGUGGAGAUUAUAAAACAAGAAGCUCACUGCCUUGCAUGGCAGGAGUAAGAGCCAGUGUGAAGGUGUAGGAGUUGGAAGGAAGUUGGAAAUCAGCCCCUUGUGGCCCUUCACUUUGAGAUUCACAAAGAAAAAAGGGAUGUCUUCUCUCUGAAAGCAAAAUGGAACUUCCUUCCUGCACCUGAAGACCUUCCUCACUGCAGGUUAUUCCAAAGAAGAAGCAGCUUGACUUUCAAAUACCAUCACUGGAAAUGAGGGUGUCUGAAGGAGACAAGGAUGGCUGAGUACAUCUCAUGUGUGGGAUAAAUCUGCUGCAUUAAACAGUUCUUCAUGAGUGAGCAGGGGUAACCUCCUUCUAGCACUCCACAUCUCUACUUCCUGCUGCUGCUCUGUCCCAAACCACAGCAUCCUCAGCGGGACCGUACAGGGAGCAACUGCAAGCCACCCACAGUCCCCUUAGCUCUGUUCAAAACAUGGCACAGAAAAAGAUGAUGUUUGAAGAUGAAAGAGACAAAAUAAAUAAAUAAAUAAAUAAAUAU
Molecule: long non-coding RNA, 1040 nt
Organism: Hyaena hyaena (striped hyena)
Lineage: Eukaryota; Metazoa; Chordata; Mammalia; Carnivora; Hyaenidae
Exons: 3
Source: RefSeq, a predicted model, not a curated record